CGGCCGAGAGGUUAGCGAAGCUUAUCAAACUCAGAAUGCCAGAGUAUUGAUGCUUGGGAGUCAGACAGUGUCAGAUAAAUGUCAUUGUCAAAAGGGAAACAGCCCAGAUCUACAGCUAAGGUCCCAAAGUCAGGUUAAGUGGAAAACGAUGUGAAGAUACGCAGACAACCAGGAUGUUGGCUCAGAAGCAGCCACUCAUUCAAAGAGUGCGUAAUAGCUCACUGGUCGAGCGUCUUUGCGCGGAGAAUUUAACGGGGCUAAACCUGACACCGAAGCUUAGGCAAUACAGCAAUGUAUUGGGUAGGGGAGCGUUGUAUACGCGGUGAAACAGUAGCGCAAGCGGCUGUGGAGUGUAUAGAAGUGAGAAUGCCGGAAUGAGUAGCGCGAAUGCAGUGAGAAUCUGCAUGGCCGAAAGCCUCAGGUUUCUGGAGGAAGGUUCGUCCGCUCCAGGUUAGUCGGGAGCUAAGGUGAGGCCUAACGGCGUAGCCGAUGCACAGACGGUAGAGAUUCCGUCACCACCAAAAGAGUUAAACACAGGGACACAUUUGAAGUCUCGGAGCCGGGUGUUGGUUCCGGUAGCGAUCGAGGGAAGUUAGUACCGAAGUCCGGGAUGGAAGAUGGCGAGAAAAGCUGUGUGUAUUUCUGAGGUGCCCGUACCGCAAACCGACACAGGUAGGUAGGAAGAAGAUUCUAAGGCCAACGGGAGAAGGGUUGUUAAGGAACUCGGCAAAUUGACCCCGUAACUUCGGGAGAAGGGGUGCUCCAGAGAUGGAGCCGCAGAGAAUCGGCCCAAGCAACUGUUUACCAAAAACACAGGUUUGUGCUAAAUCGAAAGAUGACGUAUACGAGCUGACGCCUGCCCGGUGCUGGAAGGUUAAGAGGAGAUGUGCAAGCAUUGAAUCGAAGCCCCAGUGAACGGCGGCCGUAACUAUAACGGUCCUAAGGUAGCGAAAUUCCUUGUCAGGUAAGUUCUGACCCGCAUGAAAGGCGUAAUGAUUUGGGCACUGUCUCAACAGCCCGCCCGGCGAAAUUGUAGUACCGGUGAAGAUGCCGGUUACCCGCGACAAGACGGAAAGACCCCAUGGAGCUUUACUGUAGCCUAAUAUUGGGUUUCGAUGUUGCAUGCACAGGAUAGAUGGGACACUGGGAAGUGAUCGCUUUGGCGGUCAUGGAGUGGCCGUUGGGAUACCAUCCUUGCGAUAUUGGAAUUCUAACCUGCGCCUUUGAAUCAAGGCGGGGGACAUUGUUAGGUGGGCAGUUUGACUGGGGCGGUCGCCUCCUAAAGAGUAACGGAGGCGUUCAAAGGUUCGCUCAGCUUGAACGGAAAUCAAGCAAAAGAGUGCAAACGCAGAAGCGAGCCUAACUGCGAGACUGACGGGUCGAGCAGUAACGAAAGUUGGAGUUAGUGAUCCGGUGGUAUGUGAGUGGAAAUGCCAUCGCUCAACGGAUAAAAGUUACCCUGGGGAUAACAGGCUGAUCUCCCCCAAGAGUCCACAUCGACGGGGAGGUUUGGCACCUCGAUGUCGGCUCAUCGCAUCCUGGGGCUGUAGUAGGUCCCAAG
This 1561-nucleotide ribosomal RNA is filed under the name human gut metagenome. RNAcentral's name for it is "bacterial LSU rRNA". It matches the Rfam family "Bacterial large subunit ribosomal RNA", at positions 923 to 2569 of the family's 2925-position model. The record is from RNAcentral.